RNAcentral lists this ribosomal RNA (520 nucleotides) under uncultured Glomus. RNAcentral's name for it is "SSU rRNA". It matches the Rfam family "Eukaryotic small subunit ribosomal RNA", at positions 569 to 1092 of the family's 1831-position model. The record is from RNAcentral. Lineage: Eukaryota; Fungi; Glomeromycota; Glomeromycetes; Glomerales; Glomeraceae.
AGCAGCCGCGGUAAUUCCAGCUCCAAUAGCGUAUAUUAAAGUUGUUGCAGUUAAAAAGCUCGUAGUUGAAUUUCGGGAUCAGUACGCCGGUCGUGCCUCCGGUAUGUACUGGUGUCACUGGUUCCUCCCUUCUGAAGAACCAUCAUGCUAUUAAUUUAGUGUGGUGGGAAAUCAGGACUGUUACUUUGAAAAAAUUAGAGUGUUUAAAGCAGGCUCACGCUUGAAUACAUUAGCAUGGAAUAAUGAAAUAGGACGUUGACCCUAUUUUGUUGGUUUCUAGGAUUGACGUAAUGAUUAAUAGGGAUAGUUGGGGGCAUUAGUAUUCAAUUGUCAGAGGUGAAAUUCUUGGAUUUAUUGAAGACUAACUACUGCGAAAGCAUUUGCCAAGGAUGUUUUCAUUAAUCAAGAACGAAAGUUAGGGGAUCGAAGACGAUCAGAUACCGUCGUAGUCUUAACCAUAAACUAUGCCGACUAGGGAUCGGAUGAUGUAAUUUUUUAAUGACUCAUUCGGCGCCUUAAC